Molecule: long non-coding RNA, 3728 nt
Filed under: Podarcis lilfordi (Lilford's wall lizard)
Lineage: Eukaryota; Metazoa; Chordata; Lepidosauria; Squamata; Lacertidae
Source: RNAcentral
CUUUCAUAGAGAGAGGAUGUAUAUUUCUUUGCUGUCUUCGUAGUAAGAAAUAAAGCAUAGCGAUGUAGCCAUAAAUCUCAUCACUUCCCUGUGCUGGAAACUCUGCCGGAUGGGAAUGUGCCUGAGGCCUGAUCAAAGGCUCAAGUCGUUAAUCACAUCGGGAGGCGAUUCCGAAGGACUCGACCGGAGGAAAAUGAGCUUUAUCAGCUUGGCCGAGCGGAGAUCCCGACAAAUGGAAAAAUUCCUACCUGUCCCCCGUCCCAAGACAGGCAACCAACCUAAGUCCAAAGCCAGGCCAGAGGACACCUAAAUUAAAGGGCGGGUGUUCGGCAGUGUGAAGCAGGUGCCUGACACAUGCCGUGCUUCUGCUUUUAUACCCCCACCUCACGGUCACCCCACACAAAAGUGAUUGGCCAAAAGGCCUGGGUGAACAUGGUGCCACCCUGAUGUGAAGGUAUUACUCCACCCAUGCCAGGUGGGGGGGGGAGUGGGUUGAGGGCCUUCCCGCAACCAGGACCAUCUUUUAAGAUGAUCCCAUUUGUCCCAAUCCUCCCUUAUCCACACAUUUAGUGUAUGCAAGGAGAAUGUCUCAAGAAUUUCCCACUGUUUGCAAGAACUUCGCUUCAGUCUUUAGAGGCAUAUGUCUCUUUGAGGCUCUCUAAACAGCUUAUGCUUAUUUUAAAAUAUUUUUAAAGAGUCUGAACUGCAUUAUAAAAGACUACAACUUUGGAAAUAAAUCUGUCUUUUAUAGCUUCCUUCUAAGGCAGGCAGGCAGGCAAGGCAGAGGGUCAAAUAUAUUUAUUCCCUUUGAAUAUGUGUUGGGUUUUUUUAUUAAAAAAAACUUCAGUAAGUGAUUUUAUGGACUGACAGGGUAAAACUUUGUGAUUCGUUUUAUUUAAUCAGACCUCCACAACUUGUGACCUGUGGAGUUGAGUGCAGCCCACCAGCCAUCUAUUAUGGUCUGUCAAGUGCUUGACAGUCCUUCCCCCUUUAGCAAUGCCAGGCAAGCAACAACAGCAACAAAAACCCGGAAGAUUUACAGAGCCCUUGGAGUGUCAUUAUAAAUGGCUGGUGGGUUGCAUUUAGUUUGAUUCAGGCCUUUUUAAAGGUACUGUGAUGGGGUUGGGGAUGUCAUCUUUGAGCUCCAAGCCUGUGGUGUGAUAUCCGUAAGAUAAUAUUCUGGAGAAAGAGAUGGGUAAGUGGUCAAACUAGACUUCCUUUAUUUUUUUAAGAUGAUGACUCUAGCCAUGUCUGUUUAGUCUCUCUUUGCAUGACUAAAGAGUAAAGGUGACUGGUUGCCACAGAAACGAACAAGGAACAGUUUUUCAGUUUGAAUUUGGACAGAAAGAGAAGGCUGAAUUUUCCUGCUUGCUGGCAUGAAGCAGAUUUGGGGGAAGCUAUAAGGAGAUGCUGCAACUCUGGGGGAAUCCAAAACUCUCUAGCACUCAUCUGUUUCCCUUUGCUAAAUCUGUAUUUUUUAUAAGCAACAUGCUAAGGUAAAGGUAAAGGGACCCCUGACCAUUAAGUCCAGUUGUGGGGUUGCGGUGCUCAUAUCACUUUAGUGGCUGAGGGUGCUGACAUUUGUCCUCAGACAGCUUCCGGGUCAUGUGGCCAGCAUGACUAAGCUGCUUCUGGCGAACCAGAGCAGCACACGGAAACGCUGUUUACCUUCCCACCAGAGUGGUACCUAUUUAACGUGCUUUCAAACUGCUAGGUUGGCAGGAGCAGGGACCGAGCAAUGGGAGCUCACCCCGUUGUGGGUAUUCGAACCGCCGACCUUCUGAUCGGCAAGCCCUAGGCUCUGUGGUUUAGACCACAGUGCCACCAACAUGCUACUCCAAAUCAAUUUAUACUAUAAAUCUCCAGUCCUCUCUCCACACAAGCAGACUCCUAAUGAAUCAAUUGGCUCAUGUAAUCUGUAAUUGCUUCAGGAAGAGAGAAGCAUUGGCACUACUUAUAGGAAGGGAUGGAUUGAUCCUGUGUGACGCGUUUCAGGCACAUGCCUGAGGCCGGUAUGCUUGGUUCCCAAAUUUAGGUUCACAGCUCAUAGCUAUGCAUGGAAAAAAAGCACACAUCUAGGAAAUGGCCCCUGCAAGACGUUCACUGAGCCUGUCACUGAGAUGCAUCAAAGCACAUAACUUGUGGAUUUUGCAGAGAUAAUCAUAGCUGCACAGAAUGGUGAGCAAUAUCCUUGUCAUCAGGGGCUAUGGAGAGGGAGAGUUCCAGAUCUCAUGAAGCUUAGCACUGCAGUGCCAGCCCCAACCCAAAUUAUUAUUUUUUAGGUGGUGGUUUCUGUAAUGCUCAUAAUACACUCAGUUUGACUGGCACAGUUAAUCUGUAUAAAAGGAAUUGUUUGAGAUGCCUGCUUUGUCCAGUAUUUCUAUUUCCUUUAAUAUGAUAUGGGUAGACAGAUCCUGAAGCUGAGGCUCCAAUACUUUGGCCACCUCAUGAGAAGAGAAGAGUCCCUGGAAAAUCUUUCCUGAUGCUGGGAAAGAUUGAGGGCACAAAGGGUGAGAUGGCUGGACAGUGUUCUCGAAGCUACUAACAUGAGUUUGACCAAACUGUGGGAGGCAGUGGAAGACAGGAGUGCCUGGCGUGCUCUGGUUCAUGGGGUCACAAAGAGUCGGACAUGACUAAACAACAACAAGAAUUAUUUAGCCAGUCACCUAACUGUGUUGCAGGCUGCAGCAGAACUAUGGGAGAGGUGGAACCCUUUUAGAAUUUAUCUGUGUUCUAGGAUGUCGUGUCCUGCUUAGUAGAGAAAAUUAGAUCUUCAUCUAAGAAAAGUAAUUCCCCCGCUUACAGCUAAGACAACUUGCUUGCUUUGUAAAUUGAGAGGUAAUGGCCCCCAACACUCUUUAACAACCUGAGAGUCAAAAUUAUUCUUUUAACAAUCACUUGGCUCCUUUGAUAAUUUUUCUCUGUGUUUGUCUGCACCAAAGUGAAAGAUGUCAAAUCUGGUAUGAUGUAAAAAUCUAUGGGGCAGGUCCUUAGAGUAGAUCUUUAUAAAUAACUCUACGGAAACUUUGUAGAGGCUGGUCCAUUAGGAUAAAUGGGGCACUUGCCCCACCAGCCUGAGCCUGUCCUCAUGUUAUGCUAGAUAUAAAUUUCACGAUAGGUAUAAAUAAUUUGAUGAGUCUUGAAAUCAGUGGGAGGCACACUUUCAAGUUGCUGACAAGUUUUUGUGAGGUACUACGUCCUACUUAGGAUAAGUAUCUGAGGAAAACCAAUGUUUCCAGGCAGUAUGCUGAUAAUCAGCAGCUGUGCACAAGCAUUUUGUUUUCAGAGCUAUAACUAAUCUUUAUAGAGUAAAUCUUUCUGCAUAAAACAAAUAGGUGACUGAAAAGUUGCCUUAUCCUGUUGGUCGUUUCCUCCAGUGCUUUCAAUAAAACUCUGAUAAGGAUGUGGAGGACGUUUCUAUUAUUUAUUUCUCACUUCUAUCUGUCUUUAAAUCUUGCUUUUCUAUUCCAUACUAAAAUACAGGCUGCUUUGUAUCACUGGUAUUCUUAGAAAAUUUGGAGGAAGCAAAACAGCCAGCUGCCCAGGAGAAAGACAGAACUUUGAAGAGAGAACUGAAAUAGAUUUCCUACUUUAGCUGACUCCCCAAAAGAAGGAUUCUGCAUGGACUGAGAACUGUGAAACUUAUAUAAAUUGGCCAGCCCAUGACAACUGGGUCUUCUGAUGCCUCUUUGUUCCAUAUUCUGUCUUUCUCUAUUGUUCAAUCUACU